Haloferax sp. is the source of this 463-nucleotide non-coding RNA. NCBI's taxonomy places the organism in Archaea, Methanobacteriati, Methanobacteriota, Halobacteria, Halobacteriales, Haloferacaceae. The record is from Rfam.
CGAGACCUGGCGGCGUACUCAUAGUACGAUUCCGUAGGUUGGCAUACUGUAUGGGUGGAAGCACGGGGGAGACUUCGUGUGGACCGUACAGCAACGAAAAUCAUGGUCUCAGUAGCAGCGAGAGUCGGGUGUGAACCCCGACGGCCUUACGCGCAAGGGUUCCUCGGCACUGCUAAUCAGCCGAGGGUUAGUCGAUCCUAAGUCUAACCGUAAUUCGAAUUAGAUGAAAGGGAAACUGGUUAAUAUUCCAGUACCUUCUUGCACUCAAAGUCGACGCUUUAGGAAACACCGAGCGGGGCCUUCGCCCCGUCGAAUCACCGAACUUCGUGGAAGCCGUAAUGGCACGAAGCGAAAGAAUGGUGAGAUAGGGAAACUCGGCGGUACCUAGAGCCCGUGAAAAGACGAGCAAGAAGAUCGUACCGAGAUCCGACACAGGUGCGCUGGCAGAGCAAGCCAAGGUCUG